This 468-nucleotide ribosomal RNA is filed under the name uncultured bacterium. RNAcentral's name for it is "partial 16S ribosomal RNA". It matches the Rfam family "Bacterial small subunit ribosomal RNA", at positions 28 to 507 of the family's 1533-position model. The record is from RNAcentral.
GACGAACGCUGGCGGCGUGCUUAAAACAUGCAAGUCGAACGGAAAGGCCCUGCUUUUGUGGGGUGCUCGAGUGGCGAACGGGUGAGUAACACGUGAGUAACCUGCCCUUGACUUUGGGAUAACUUCAGGAAACUGGGGCUAAUACCGGAUAGGAGCUCCUGCUGCAUGGUGGGGGUUGGAAAGUUUCGGCGGUUGGGGAUGGACUCGCGGCUUAUCAGCUUGUUGGUGGGGUAGUGGCUUACCAAGGCUUUGACGGGUAGCCGGCCUGAGAGGGUGACCGGCCACAUUGGGACUGAGAUACGGCCCAGACUCCUACGGGAGGCAGCAGUGGGGAAUAUUGCACAAUGGGCGAAAGCCUGAUGCAGCAACGCCGCGUGCGGGAUGACGGCCUUCGGGUUGUAAACCGCUUUCGCCUGUGACGAAGCGUGAGUGACGGUAAUGGGUAAAGAAGCACCGGCUAACUACGUG